Molecule: transfer RNA, 61 nt
Filed under: Anomolachesilla palaciosi
Lineage: Eukaryota; Metazoa; Arthropoda; Insecta; Psocodea; Lachesillidae
Description: tRNA-Thr
Source: RNAcentral
GUUUUAAUAAUUUAUAUAAAAUAUUGGUCUUGUAAACCAAAAAUGAACUUUUCUUAAAACU